RNAcentral lists this ribosomal RNA (371 nucleotides) under uncultured organism. RNAcentral's name for it is "partial 16S ribosomal RNA". It matches the Rfam family "Bacterial small subunit ribosomal RNA", at positions 527 to 896 of the family's 1533-position model. The record is from RNAcentral.
GUAGGUGGCAAGCGUUGUCCGGAAUUAUUGGGCGUAAAGCGCGCGCAGGCGGUUCUUUAAGUCUGAUGUGAAAGCCCACGGCUCAACCGUGGAGGGUCAUUGGAAACUGGAGAACUUGAGUACAGAAGAGGAAAGCGGAAUUCCACGUGUAGCGGUGAAAUGCGUAGAGAUGUGGAGGAACACCAGUGGCGAAGGCGGCUUUCUGGUCUGUAACUGACGCUGAGGCGCGAAAGCGUGGGGAGCAAACAGGGAUUAGAUACCCUGGUAGUCCACGCCGUAAACGAUGAGUGCUAAGUGUAGGGGGUUUCCGCCCCCUUAGUGCUGCAGCUAACGCAUUAAGCACUCCGCCUGGGGAUACGGCCGCAAGGCUG